Molecule: ribosomal RNA, 942 nt
Filed under: Triticum aestivum (bread wheat)
Lineage: Eukaryota; Viridiplantae; Streptophyta; Magnoliopsida; Poales; Poaceae
Description: partial small subunit ribosomal RNA
Source: RNAcentral
AUGCAGAUCACUACUCGUGGUACAAAACUUGGCGUGAGCCGCGCCGCCGCCUGCUCAAACGGCAAACCGCUCGAUCGAUCCUCCGUCUCCCCCGACGCCGGCGAUGCGUCGCAUCUCCUCUCCCUCGUCGCCAUCCCUCUCUUCCGUCCUCUCGCGACGACGACUUCUCCCGCCGCCCAAUCCACCCGUCCGUCGUCUCUCCCGGUGGGUUUUCCUCCUCCUCUUCUUCUCGCGCCAGAGUUUUAUUGGUACAACCCCUGCUUGGUUGAUAUAGUUUUGGAUCUAGACUUGCGUAAUCUCCCGGCGGCUCUGUGCAUUAGAGAUGAUCCCAUCAGCGUGGAACAGGGUUCUUCCAUCAGCAUGGUCGGCCCAAAGAGAGGGAUAGAUCUGAGUGGCAACAUUGUAGUCGAAUACGACAUGAGGAUCAAGACAGACGAAGAAGUAAAGCAUGACCUACAACUGAUCGACGGCGCAUCGAUGAUACGCCACAAGGACAUGAGGGAUUGCUGGGCAUUCACGAGUCGUAUCCACGGCAACCACGGCGCAAUAGACCUCACUUUGUCGGCCCUUGAUGAUGCGGUUGAGGCGACCGUGGAAGUCGUCAUAUCGGAAGUGCGGAGCGGCUUCGCUCUGCGCCUUGGGUGCUUCAUUGGUGGGGUGGAAGAGGAGAUCCCAAUCUUCGACGGCGCCAUCGGUAGCGAGGCACAUGGGUUGAAAUUAAAAAGGUUUGUGGUUGCUGUAAUGAUAAGGUCUUGGAUGAAGUUGGAAUUUAAGGUGGCCCCGGAGUCGGCUCGGUGUCAGUUUGCCUUCAUGGCGAACAACCAUGGGGUUUCUUGUGGGAACAUGAAGAUGGAUUUUGCAUUGUUCUCAGUGAAGGUGACAUGGUCGUCUUUGCCUUCGUGGGCACCGAGCUUACACCGGCGGCCCAAGCAUUCAAGCUAG